This is a small nucleolar RNA of Hevea brasiliensis (rubber tree), 141 nucleotides long. The record is from RefSeq and is a predicted model, not a curated record. Lineage: Eukaryota; Viridiplantae; Streptophyta; Magnoliopsida; Malpighiales; Euphorbiaceae.
AUCCCAGAUAAGCUUUCUUUUUGUUUAUCUGAUUCAUGGGAGGCCAAUAUGGAUGAUGGAAGUUUUGCUGAUAGCACCUUUUUUUUUUUUUUUUUUUUUUUGCUUUUAGGAAGGUGUUUAAUAGUAGCUUUACAUAUAAAG